UACGUAGGGUGCAAGCGUUAAUCGGAAUUACUGGGCGUAAAGCGUGCGCAGGCGGUUGUGCAAGACAGAUGUGAAAUCCCCGGGCUCAACCUGGGAACUGCAUUUGUGACUGCACGGCUGGAGUGCGGCAGAGGGGGAUGGAAUUCCGCGUGUAGCAGUGAAAUGCGUAGAUAUGCGGAGGAACACCGAUGGCGAAGGCAAUCCCCUGGGCCUGUACUGACGCUCAUGCACGAAAGCGUGGGGAGCAAACAGG
RNAcentral lists this ribosomal RNA (253 nucleotides) under uncultured bacterium. RNAcentral's name for it is "partial 16S ribosomal RNA". It matches the Rfam family "Bacterial small subunit ribosomal RNA", at positions 524 to 776 of the family's 1533-position model. The record is from RNAcentral.